UAUGGAGGGUGCGAGCGUUAUCCGGAUUUAUUGGGUUUAAAGGGUCCGUAGGCGGACCUGUAAGUCAGUGGUGAAAUCUCAUAGCUUAACUAUGAAACUGCCAUUGAUACUGCGGGACUUGAGUGAAUUUGAGGUAGCUGGAAUAAGUAGUGUAGCGGUGAAAUGCAUAGAGAUUACUCAGAACACCAAUUGCGAAGGCAGGUUACCAAGAUUCAACUGACGCUGAGGGACGAAAGCGUGGGGAGCGAACAGG
RNAcentral lists this ribosomal RNA (253 nucleotides) under uncultured bacterium. Its description in RNAcentral is "partial 16S ribosomal RNA". It matches the Rfam family "Bacterial small subunit ribosomal RNA", at positions 524 to 776 of the family's 1533-position model. The record is from RNAcentral.